Molecule: ribosomal RNA, 405 nt
Filed under: uncultured bacterium
Lineage: Bacteria
Description: partial 16S ribosomal RNA
Rfam family: Bacterial small subunit ribosomal RNA
Source: RNAcentral
AUUGAACGCUGGCGGCAGGCCUAACACAUGCAAGUCGAACGAGUGGCGGACGGGUGAGUAAUGUCUGGGAAACUGCCUGCUGGAGGGGGAUAACUACUGGAAACGGUAGCUAAUACCGCAUACCAUCUGAUGUGCCCAGAUGGGAUUAGCUAGUAGGUGGGGUAAAGGCGCACCUAGGCGACGAUCCCUAGCUGGUCUGAGAGGAUGACCAGCGAAACUGGAACUGAGACACGGUCCAGACGCCGACGGGAGGGAGCAGUGGGGAAUAUUGCAAAAUGGGCGGAAGCCUGAUGCAGCCAUGCGGGGUGUAUGAAGAAGGCCUUCGGGUUGUAAAGUACUUUCAGCGGGGAGGGGUUACCAGCAGAGGAAGCACCGGCGAACUCCGUGCCAGCAGCCGCGGUAAUU